CAGUGUUAUAUCCUCUGAACCCACAAACGCUGGUCCUUCUUUUGCUCGCGGGAACCAUGAAGUGCGUGUCAUCUCUUCCGGUGCUCUGUUUGCUGGUACUCUCCGUGAGUACCAUCUUUAACCCCAUUACCCCACAUGAGCCGAUCUUCAAAGGGACCCUGAAAGAUGUGAUUUCAUUUUCAAAAGAACAGAUAACCUCCUCCUUACCAUACCUAUGGAUUUCCAGAAAAGGCGGCAUUGUCAAGAUUUUGUUCGUGAGCCACAUCAUCGUGUUUGUUUUGAAGUAUAUCUUGAAAAGUAUUGAGCCAGUACUUGCAUUCAAGAAAGUUCGUAAGGACAGGAUCCGAUGCCCUCAGAACCGCAAUCGCCCGACCUUGAUGAAUCCGUGACAGCGUGUUGAGCCGUCACAUUGAUCCUGCCAACACAAACCGUUACAUACAAACUACUGGCCAUUGUUUCUGUCUUGUGAUUGUAACAUAUAAACGACGUUGUUUCUGUAUCGUCCAUUGCAUGGAUGUAAAUCCUGAAAAUGGUUAAUAAAAUAUUUCUGGUCAUUCUUUGUGGAGCAUUUCCAUAGGUUGUGAAAGUGUGUCUGUGGUACCAAUUGUGAGACUUCAGAUAUUAUUAAAAUUGUGUUCUUGGGAG
This 645-nucleotide long non-coding RNA is filed under the name Eptatretus burgeri (inshore hagfish). Its description in RNAcentral is "lncRNA (ENSEBUG00000017519.1)". The record is from RNAcentral. Lineage: Eukaryota; Metazoa; Chordata; Myxini; Myxiniformes; Myxinidae.